Molecule: ribosomal RNA, 562 nt
Filed under: Amphora coffeiformis
Lineage: Eukaryota; Bacillariophyta; Bacillariophyceae; Surirellales; Surirellaceae
Description: partial large subunit ribosomal RNA
Rfam family: Eukaryotic large subunit ribosomal RNA
Source: RNAcentral
AGGGCGACUGNNGUGGCAAUAGCUCAUGAUGUGAAUCUGCGUAAGCCGAAUUGUGGUCUCACUUGUGUUAAAGGCUGGGCCAACUCCGUUGGAACACUCCCNCANANAGGGUGAUACUCCCGUUUGCCUGGCCCAUGGAACAAGUGUUGUUGAAUCAAGUUGUUUGGGAUUGCAGCUCUAACUGGGUGGUAAAUUCCAUCGAAAGCUAAAUACUGGUGGGAUACCCAUAGGGUACAAAUACCGUGAAGAAAAAAUGCAAACAAGCGCGGAAGCUCUGUUAAAAAGUACCUGAUCUUGCUGAAACAGAUUCGAAUGAAACCAGUGCCAGCUGCGUCAUACUUCCCUGACUGCUUGCCGACGGGGCGCUGUGGCCAGUGUUGGCAGGUUUGGUUCAGGGAUGCCUAAGAGUGUGCUUACAGUUGAUGCCCAUUGCCUGCUCUACUCUCGACUGAGGUUGACCAGGUGNUUUUCUUUUUCCCCUCUUGAANCACNNANNNNNGANGUGAGGCCGAGGGACCUUCGAUGUUUUCCUACCGACCCGUCUUGAAACACGGACCAAGGA